Molecule: ribosomal RNA, 253 nt
Filed under: uncultured bacterium
Lineage: Bacteria
Description: partial 16S ribosomal RNA
Rfam family: Bacterial small subunit ribosomal RNA
Source: RNAcentral
UACGUAGGUGGCAAGCGUUGUCCGGAUUUACUGGGCGUAAAGGGCGUGCAGGCGGUUUGUUAAGUGCAGAGUGAAAGCUCCCGGCUCAACUGGGAGAGGUCUUUGCGUACUGGCAAACUCGAGGGAGGCAGAGGAAAGUGGAAUUCCCGGUGUAGUGGUGAUAUGCGUAGAUAUCGGGAGGAACACCUGUGGCGAAGGCGGCUUUCUGGGCCUUACCUGACGCUGAGACGCGAAAGCGUGGGGAGCGAACCGG